CAAAGCAGUGUCUUCUUCUUCAUGUGGUUGUAUUAAACGCACGUCUUUUAGUUGUCCGUGAAUUAAUAUAUGUUUCUGAGAUUAUUUUAUGGUAGUCCUGAAUUAUCAGAAGUAUUGCCGAGUUUUACAUGUACAUUAAAUUGUUAACAAACCAACAA
This is a long non-coding RNA of Melitaea cinxia (Glanville fritillary), 158 nucleotides long. RefSeq lists it as uncharacterized. The transcript is spliced from 2 exons. NCBI's taxonomy places the organism in Eukaryota, Metazoa, Arthropoda, Insecta, Lepidoptera, Nymphalidae. The record is from RefSeq and is a predicted model, not a curated record.